AGUGAACGCUGGCGGUAGGCCUAACACAUGCAAGUCGAACGGCAGCACAGUAAGAGCUUGCUCUUACGGGUGGCGAGUGGCGGACGGGUGAGGAAUACAUCGGAAUCUACUUUUUCGUGGGGGAUAACGUAGGGAAACUUACGCUAAUACCGCAUACGACCUACGGGUGAAAGCAGGGGAUCUUCGGACCUUACGCGAUUGAAUGAGCCGAUGUCGGAUUAGCUAGUUGGCGGGGUAAAGGCCCACCAAGGCGACGAUCCGUAGCUGGUCUGAGAGGAUGAUCAGCCACACUGGAACGGAGACACGGUCCAGACUCCUACGGGAGGCAGCAGUGGGGAAUAUUGGACAAUGGGCGCAAGCCUGAUCCAGCCAUACCGCGUGGGUGAAGAAGGCCUUCGGGUUGUAAAGCCCUUUUGUUGGGAAAGAAAAGCAGCAGGUUAAUACCCCGCUGUUCUGACGGUACCCAAAGAAUAAGCACCGGCUAACUUCGUG
Molecule: ribosomal RNA, 492 nt
Filed under: uncultured bacterium
Lineage: Bacteria
Description: partial 16S ribosomal RNA
Rfam family: Bacterial small subunit ribosomal RNA
Source: RNAcentral